Molecule: long non-coding RNA, 594 nt
Filed under: Ananas comosus (pineapple)
Lineage: Eukaryota; Viridiplantae; Streptophyta; Magnoliopsida; Poales; Bromeliaceae
Description: long non-coding RNA (ACOM_LNC032210)
Source: RNAcentral
UAUAAUCCAAAAUUGACUUCGUUCGGCAUAGAUGUUUCUCUAAUUCAGAUAAAUAACUUGCAACUGGAUAUGUUAUUGGUAUGGUAGUUUUUGUUUAGUCAAACGUGUACGUUGUGGUGCAUGUUGGUGUUUUAAGAUAUCUUCUUGAGACUACCGUGAAGCAUGACAAAAAGAAACAAAACUGAAAGAGGAGGAGAAAGAGCGGUUAUAACUAUCAUUUUUUAUAGUGGUUAGAAAUAUGUUUGUAAAAUAUGUUUGUAAAAAUAUGUUUGUAAGUAAAAUAUUUAAAGGGUUCAUAUAUAUAAUAUGAAAAAAAAUGACAAUUUAUAUUUAUUGAUAAACAUUAUUAUUUGAUUUUUAAGAAAAUAAUAUAUAAUAUAAAAUGAUAUGUAAGAAAAUAAUAUAUAAAAAUUUAAAAUAUUUACUAGCUCUUGGACCAAUCAAAACAUGAGAGAUUUUGGUUUAGCAGUAAAAAUGCAAAUAAAUAUUUAGGUAUGCAAAGAACCGGAUUUUGUGUUCAUCCGAACGGUUAUAUUCUUACUGUUGCAAAUUUAUUUCGCGAAACCAUCACUGACAUACAUAUUCGCAAGAUUG